Molecule: non-coding RNA, 72 nt
Organism: Heterocephalus glaber (naked mole-rat)
Lineage: Eukaryota; Metazoa; Chordata; Mammalia; Rodentia; Bathyergidae
Source: Rfam
GAGGAUGGAGCUCGGGGGUAGAGCAUGUGCUUAGUAUGCAUGAGGGUCUGGGUUUGAUCCCCAGCAGCACCA